This 28-nucleotide small RNA is filed under the name Bombyx mori (domestic silkworm). Its description in RNAcentral is "piRNA piR-bmo-2040302". Lineage: Eukaryota; Metazoa; Arthropoda; Insecta; Lepidoptera; Bombycidae. The record is from RNAcentral.
UCCCAUUGUCGCUUCAAAGAAUCUUAAU